Molecule: long non-coding RNA, 285 nt
Organism: Patiria miniata (bat star)
Lineage: Eukaryota; Metazoa; Echinodermata; Asteroidea; Valvatida; Asterinidae
Exons: 2
Source: RefSeq, a predicted model, not a curated record
AUGCAGUGUUGCAUUCAUGUUGCAUUCAGGGUCUGUGUGUACUAGACAUACAUGAGAUAUCUCUAGUAGAGGACAUCAAUCAUGCUGCACAUGAAGAAGCCAAGAUAAGUCCCUCAACACAAAGGAUUCGACUCCUGGGAACACUGCUCAAGCAACCCACGGGUCUGUGUGUACUAGACGUACAUGAGAUAUCUCUAGUAGAGGAUAUCAAUCGUGCUGCACAUGAAGAAGCCAAGAUAAGUUCCUCAACACAAAGGAUUGGACUCCUGGGAACACUGCUCAAGC